CAGUCGCCGCGGUAAAACGAAGGGGGCUAGCGUUGUUCGGAUUUACUGGGCGUAAAGGGCGCGUAGGCGGACUGAUAAGUCAGGGGUGAAAUCCCAAGGCUCAACCUUGGAACUGCCUUUGAUACUGUUUGUCUUGAGUUCGAGAGAGGUAAGUGGAACUGCGAGUGUAGAGGUGAAAUUCGUAGAUAUUUGCAAGAACACCAGUGGCGAAGGCGGCUUACUGGCUCGAAACUGACGCUGAGGCGCGAAAGCGUGGGGAGCAAACAGGAUUAGAUACCCCUGUAGUCCCUGUCUCUUAUAC
Molecule: ribosomal RNA, 301 nt
Filed under: uncultured bacterium
Lineage: Bacteria
Description: partial 16S ribosomal RNA
Rfam family: Bacterial small subunit ribosomal RNA
Source: RNAcentral